RNAcentral lists this ribosomal RNA (497 nucleotides) under uncultured bacterium. RNAcentral's name for it is "partial 16S ribosomal RNA". It matches the Rfam family "Bacterial small subunit ribosomal RNA", at positions 28 to 507 of the family's 1533-position model. The record is from RNAcentral.
GAUGAACGCUGGCGGCGUGCCUAAUACAUGCAAGUCGAGCGAACGGACGAGAAGCUUGCUUCUCUGAUGUUAGCGGCGGACGGGUGAGUAACACGUGGAUAACCUACCUAUAAGACUGGGAUAACUUCGGGAAACCGGAGCUAAUACCGGAUAAUAUUUUGAACCGCAUGGUUCAAAAGUGAAAGACGGUCUUGCUGUCACUUAUAGAUGGAUCCGCGCUGCAUUAGCUAGUUGGUAAGGUAACGGCUUACCAAGGCAACGAUGCAUAGCCGACCUGAGAGGGUGAACGGCCACACUGGAAUUGAGACACGGUCCAGACUCCUACGGGAGGCAGCAGUAGGGAAUCUUCCGCAAUGGGCGAAAGCCUGACGGAGCAACGCCGCGUGAGUGAUGAAGGUCUUCGGAUCGUAAAACUCUGUUAUUAGGGAAGAACAUAUGUGUAAGUAACUGUGCACAUCUUGACGGUACCUAAUCAGAAAGCCACGGCUAACUACGUG